This 750-nucleotide ribosomal RNA is filed under the name Triticum aestivum (bread wheat). Its description in RNAcentral is "partial small subunit ribosomal RNA". Lineage: Eukaryota; Viridiplantae; Streptophyta; Magnoliopsida; Poales; Poaceae. The record is from RNAcentral.
AUGUUGUUCGAAUGCAAAUUGGCAAUGGACGUGUGGAAGAUGCUCGGUCUUGAGCUUGUUAUCAAACAGGCACUGAAAGUUGACAAGGCAGGUGAGCUUGUGUUGGCACAUCUUCUGUGCCUUCCAAAACAACAAAUCCAAGUGUUGGGCUUGCCGAAGUUCAGAGAAACGAUGGCAACGACGGCUUGGUAUUUGUGGUAUGAAAGGCGAAAAUUGACACAUGACGAAGAAACUCAAAGUGCAUAUCAAAUCAAUAUGUCAGUGAGAGGCUUAGUAGAAAAUUAUACCAUCUCUUACAGCCCAAAGGCUCACAUCCGUUCAGAUGCUUGGUUGAAAUCAAAGUAUGGUUACGUGAAAUUAAAUGUUGACGCGGGAUUUGAUAGAGACACACUCGCAGCAACAUUUGGAGCAGUUAUCCGGGACCAUAGGGGGAAAUUUAUAGCGGCUGCUAAUGAAAAGAUGAACCUUUGCUUCGACUCGUUCACAGCAGAAGCAAUUGCAGUGAGGUUUGGUUUGAAUCUUGCUAAUACCGUCGGAUGUAGUAAGAUUGAAGUGAAUUCGGAUAGCGUGGAGGUGGUGAAUGCGUUGAGCCAAGGCUACUCUUCUUCAGUCGCUUCAUCCAUUAUAGACGACUGUUAUUUCAUGUCAUUAGAUUUUUCCCAUGUCAUUUAUGAUUAUUGUAAUAGGGAACGUAAUCGAGUAGCUCAUGAACUAGCAAGGUUAGCUAGGUUUUCUUCUCCGAGUGUUUGA